This 468-nucleotide ribosomal RNA is filed under the name uncultured bacterium. RNAcentral describes it as "partial 16S ribosomal RNA". It matches the Rfam family "Bacterial small subunit ribosomal RNA", at positions 28 to 507 of the family's 1533-position model. The record is from RNAcentral.
GACGAACGCUGGCGGCGUGCUUAACACAUGCAAGUCGAACGGAAAGGCCCUGCUUUUGUGGGGUGCUCGAGUGGCGAACGGGUGAGUAACACGUGAGUAACCUGCCCUUGACUUUGGGAUAACUUCAGGAAACUGGGGCUAAUACCGGAUAGGAGCUCCUGCUGCAUGGUGGGGGUUGGAAAGUUUCGGCGGUUGGGGAUGGACUCGCGGCUUAUCAGCUUGUUGGUGGGGUAGUGGCUUACCAAGGCUUUGACGGGUAGCCGGCCUGAGAGGGUGACCGGCCACAUAGGGAGUGAGAUACGGCCCAGACUCCUACGGGAGGCAGCAGUGGGGAAUAUUGCACAAUGGGCGGAAGCCUGAUGCAGCAACGCCGCGUGCGGGAUGACGGCCUUCGGGGUGUAAACCGCGUUCGCCUGUGACGAAGCGUGAGUGACGGUAAUGGGUAAAGAAGCACCGGCUAACUACGUG